UGAACGCUGGCGGCAUGCCUUACACAUGCAAGUCGACCGGUAACAGGUUAAGCUGACGAGUGGCGAACGGGUGAGUAAUACAUCGGAACGUGCCCAGUAGUGGGGGAUAGCCCGGCGAAAGCCGGAUUAAUACCGCAUACGACCUAAGGGUGAAAGGGGGGGAUCGCAAGACCUCUCGCUAUUGGAGCGGCCGAUGUCAGAUUAGCUAGUUGGUGGGGUAAAAGCUCACCAAGGCGACGAUCUGUAGCUGGUCUGAGAGGACGACCAGCCACACUGGGACUGAGACACGGCCCAGACUCCUACGGGAGGCAGCAGUGGGGAAUUUUGGACAAUGGGCGCAAGCCUGAUCCAGCCAUGCCGCGUGCGGGAAGAAGGCCUUCGGGUUGUAAACCGCUUUUGUCAGGGAAGAAAUCCUUUGGGUUAAUACCUCGGGGGGAUGACGGUACCUGAAGAAUAAGCACCGGCUAACUACGUG
Molecule: ribosomal RNA, 475 nt
Filed under: uncultured bacterium
Lineage: Bacteria
Description: partial 16S ribosomal RNA
Rfam family: Bacterial small subunit ribosomal RNA
Source: RNAcentral